RNAcentral lists this long non-coding RNA (654 nucleotides) under Salmo salar (Atlantic salmon). Its description in RNAcentral is "lncRNA (ENSSSAG00000097952.1, ENSSSAG00020073565.1, ENSSSAG00075034727.1)". Lineage: Eukaryota; Metazoa; Chordata; Actinopteri; Salmoniformes; Salmonidae. The record is from RNAcentral.
GGCCUUCAUAGCUUCUCCCACUGCCCUGAGGUUUAUCUUGGGAUGUUAAGUUUCAGAGAGUUGGUUAUUUUUUAAAUAUUCCACCAUGACUUUGAGAGAGGAUCUGAGUCUCCUGUUCCUUGGAGCUUGAGAGGCCGUGUACAUCCUAGACCAAAUGGACAUCUCGAAAAAGGCUGGGAACCCUCCUUGGUACACUUGGACGUUGUCCCCGAGAGCAUUAACAGCCUUAGCGGGGAUGACAAUGAAGUCUGUUAUUUAGCGAAGAGGCCAUGGAGUUUGACCUGCCAAACCAGCUCAAGGUUUCUCGAGUGGCACAAAAUAUUAUCAAAGAUGAGAACAUUACGAGAUAGAUUUUGAUGUGUGUGGAAUAAUCAAAGAUGUUUUGAUGAUUGUAAGACCACAUCGGACCAGUGUUCAGUGUUGAUGACAUCGGCCAAGUCUUUGGGGAGGGUAGGUUUUUGACUCCAGUGACAAUCUAUAGAAGGCACCAUCACAUCACCAAAGGAAACAUACUAAUUCUACUGUUCCUUGACAGAGGGAUAUGCAUAGAUACUGUCAGCAAAGAGCAAAGGCAUAUCUGAGAACAAGAUUCGUCAAUCCUAAUGGCAAACAAAUCGUAGUUAUCAUAUUUGGCAAUGACAUACAAUGUCCAGA